UACGUAGGGUGCAAGCGUUAAUCGGAAUUACUGGGCGUAAAGCGCGCGUAGGCGGGUCUUUAAGUCAGGGGUGAAAUCCUGGAGCUCAACUCCAGAACUGCCUUUGAUACUGAGGAUCUUGAGUUCGGGAGAGGUGAGUGGAACUGCGAGUGUAGAGGUGAAAUUCGUAGAUAUUCGCAAGAACACCAGUGGCGAAGGCGGCUCACUGGCCCGAUACUGACGCUAAGGCACGAAAGCGUGGGGAGCAAACAGG
RNAcentral lists this ribosomal RNA (253 nucleotides) under uncultured bacterium. RNAcentral's name for it is "partial 16S ribosomal RNA". It matches the Rfam family "Bacterial small subunit ribosomal RNA", at positions 524 to 776 of the family's 1533-position model. The record is from RNAcentral.